CGCAUUCCUGAAGAAUAUGCGGAUUGCUCCCUUCAUUUUCAGCGCUCUUUGAUUGCCCCGCUGUGACCUCUUUGGUGUAUUUCUACUUUGUCGCCCGCUUUUGCGAUGCUUCUUGUUGCCUCGAAGAUCACCAUGAUCGCCUCCGACUCGGCGACGUCAAAGAUUCAAAAUGAGCCUGCAGACGCCACAGCUAGAACACGAAAGGUGAAUUCUUGGACAAGUCAUCAUCUAGCGUCUCCAUAAUCGGAUGCAGUGAUGCUGAGAGAAUGCACCGCAGGGAGUGGAAGGAAAUCGCUGCUGAUGCAACCACAAGCAUUUCCAACAUUGAUCAGCCGGUGCACAGUGCCUUCACUAGUAGAGAUGAUGAAUUUAGUCACCCAGCUGCGAGACUUUGCAAAUUUGCAGGAGUGGGAGUAAAUUUCGCUGUCAUGUGAGCAAACUAAAUGUAAAAUGUGCCUUGUCAGAGUGUAUGCCUGAUAUACAAGGGGUGUUCAUAAAGUUUGUAUUAUCAGUACCAUAAAUUCGAAACAGGUGUGCACAUUAGGCAUCAGCAUGAGUGCAUGUCAUUCUAGAUUUAGCAGAGUAUAUAUUGUGUUCUAUGUAGUACUGCCAUUCACUGCUAGAAGCACCAAACCAAAAACGGCAGCGUCAAUCGAGAAAGUUGCUUGUAGCAAAAGCAGUGAUCAGCUUUCUGCAUUUCAAGGGACAAAAUUUUAGGGGUGUGUGAAUAUUCAAUUUUUUCAGAUAACGAAUCAAAUAGUCCCUAUUAGUAAGUGCAAAUAUUUUUCUAACACUUUUAGAAUAUUUUACAAUGUCAACUGCACUCAAUUAAACAUAAAAAUGGAGCAAACGUACAGUAAGUUUGCAUCCCCAUGGGGAUAGUAUAGACGAAAAACAGAACUUGCCUCGUGGAGCAGGCUAAGCUGCUUAGGUAGCCAUACUUUACAUGUCAUACAGCAAUCAUUUGCACUUUCUGAAGAGUCCUGUGUACUUGAAAAAACUACUUGUUUGCUCCUAAUGCCCCGUUGGUGCUUUUAUUAAACAACACUUCAUAACGUGCUAUGUAUGACAGAAACUUGCCAACUUUAAGCAUGCUAGGAUGUGAACAUCUUUUUAUAUGUAAAAUUAUGACAAUGGCUGUUCAUUAUUGGAAAAUGAUUCUAUAUUUGAUUUGCUUUAAGCACUGUUGGAUUUGUAUUGCAUUUGAUCUAAAAAAUCGCUCUUCGCACACCCCUACAAAAUUCCAAAAAGAUUGAUGUCAACACUUUGCAGUGUUGGUCACCGCAUGCCGUAACCAGCUCAGUGUGAAUCUCUAACAUUGUGCCUCUUAAAUUGCAGAAAGCAAAUUGCUACUCUUGUUUCAACUAACUUUCCCAAUGGAUGCUGCCAUUUGUAGUUUGAUGCCCCUCGCAGCGUUUCGUGAUACUAUAUAGAAGACAAUUUUUAUAUCUUGCUGAAACUAAAGAUGUGCACUCUUGUUGAUGCUUAUUCCACACACGUGUUCCAAAUUUAUGGUGCUGAUAAUAGAAACUUUAUUAAUGACCCUAGCCUAUAGGGAUCCAUGGUCUGAUUACGAGGCGCACAAUAGCGAGGGCCUCUGGAUUAAUUCUGAAGACCGAAGGUUCUUUGCUGCACACCCAAUGUGUGGCACACGAGGGUUUGUACAUUCUGCCUCCAUCGGAAAACCGGCUCACACAUCACACUUACGCAAACCUAUUUGAAAUAAACAGAGGGCACAGCUUUAUGUUCA
Non-coding RNA from Dermacentor andersoni, 1750 nucleotides. NCBI's taxonomy places the organism in Eukaryota, Metazoa, Arthropoda, Arachnida, Ixodida, Ixodidae. The record is from RefSeq and is a predicted model, not a curated record.